AGAAUCAACGCUGGCGGCGUGCCUAACACAUGCAAGUCGAACGAGAAAGUGGAGCAAUCCAUGAGUAAAGUGGCGACCGGGUGAGUAACACGUGACUAACCUACCUUCGAGUGGGGGAUAACCUCGGGAAACCGAGGCUAAUACCGCAUAACAUCGUGAGAUCAAAGCAGUAAUGCGCUGGAAGAGGGGGUCGCGGCUGAUUAGCUAGUUGGCGGGUAAUGGCCCACAAGGCGAAGAUCGGUAGCCGGCCUGAGAGGGGCGCGACGGACCGACGACCUGGAACUGAAACACGGUCCAGACUCCUACGGGAGGCAGCAGUGGGGAAUUUUGCGCAAUGGGGGAAACCCUGACGCAGCAACGCCGCGUGGAGGAUGAAGUCCCUUGGGACGUAAACUCCUUUCGACCAAGACGAUAAUGACGGUACUGGUGGAAGAAGCACCGGCUAACUCUGUGCCAGCAGCCGC
Molecule: ribosomal RNA, 464 nt
Filed under: uncultured bacterium
Lineage: Bacteria
Description: SSU rRNA
Rfam family: Bacterial small subunit ribosomal RNA
Source: RNAcentral